UACGGGGGGGGCAAGCGUUGUUCGGAAUUACUGGGCGUAAAGGGCGCGUAGGCGGUCCUGUAAGUGGUGUGUGAAAUCCGAUGGCUCAACCAUCGAGCUGCGCUCCAUACUGCAGGACUUGAGUACAGCAGAGGAAAGUGGAAUUCCAGGUGUAGCGGUGAAAUGCGUAGAUAUCUGGAGGAACACCGGUGGCGAAGGCGGCAUCCUGGACCAAUAUUGACGCUGAGGAGCGAAAGCCAGGGGAGCAAACGGG
Molecule: ribosomal RNA, 253 nt
Filed under: uncultured bacterium
Lineage: Bacteria
Description: partial 16S ribosomal RNA
Rfam family: Bacterial small subunit ribosomal RNA
Source: RNAcentral